AGUGAACGCUGGCGGUAGGCCUAACACAUGCAAGUCGAACGGCAGCACAGUAAGAGCUUGCUCUUACGGGUGGCGAGUGGCGGACGGGUGAGGAAUACAUCGGAAUCUACUUUUUCGUGGGGGAUAACGUAGGGAAACUUACGCUAAUACCGCAUACGACCUACGGGUGAAAGCAGGGGAUCUUCGGACCUUGCGCGAUUGAAUGAGCCGAUGUCGGAUUAGCUAGUUGGCGGGGUAAAGGCCCACCACGGCGACGAUCCGUAGCUGGUCUGAGAGGAGGAUCAGCCACACUGGAACUGAGACACGGUCCAGACUCCUACGGGAGGCAGCAGUGGGGAAUAUUGGACAAUGGGCGCAAGCCUGAUCCAGCCAUACCGCGUGGGUGAAGAAGGCCUUCGGGUUGUAAAGCCCUUUUGUUGGGAAAGAAAAGCAGCAGGUUAAUACCCCGCUGUUCUGACGGUACCCAAAGAAUAAGCACCGGCUAACUUCGUG
Molecule: ribosomal RNA, 492 nt
Filed under: uncultured bacterium
Lineage: Bacteria
Description: partial 16S ribosomal RNA
Rfam family: Bacterial small subunit ribosomal RNA
Source: RNAcentral